ACUGUUAAAAAUUGCUGUUAAUUUACGGCAAAAUUUUAACAGUAUAAUCCUGUUAUUGUCAAAAGCAGUAUGUUGCUGUUUUCUUACAGUUUUUGAAAUGACUUAGACAAAAUUUAACAUUAUUUUACUGUUUUUAUCACACUAAUGUAAAAAAACAGCAAUCAACAGUAUUUUUCUAACAGAAAACAUCAGCCAUCACAUGUGGAUUUUCAUCCUUUUGUUUACUGUGACUUACUCGGUAAGUGCACCUUUAUUUUGCUCAUUUUACACAAAAUACACAUUUGUGAUUCCACAUAGGCUAACUGGAUGCUGAUAUUGUAACUUUUUUACAUCUAUUUUAGUGCUAAAUCUGUCAAUGUGCAAACUGCAUCUGCAUUGAGUGGAACUGGAUUUCUGACACAGAUAUUUCCUGAUUACACGUGCUGAACCUGUGAACAUGCUAACUGCAUCAUAGAGUGGAGCUGGAUUUCUGAUACAGAUAUUGAUUACUGAUUACAAGGCAUCUUCUACUGUACCUGAUGUAGAAAAGACCCUUGAACUACCUGCAAUUCCUUGACUGAUACUUUUUGGAGAAAAACCAGGAAGCUACAUUCAUAAAUGGAUGAUCAUUUUUGAGGGGCAAAUAAUCUGUAAAAGCAUCCAGCCAAUUUUUUUGUCUGGUAUAGCGGCUGUGUUUUCAUCUUACGACAUUUUCAAUGUGGAGAACCAAGCUGAGGCUGCAUGCACAUUGGAAUUAAUUCAGAGAAGCUUCAUGGGUAAACCCUGAAAAAGGCUCCAAGAGUGGACACAUCCUAUCGAAGGGAAUGGGGAAGGUCACCCACAAAAAUAAUUGUCAACACUAAGGUUGCCAGUUUACUUAAAGAAGCUAUUGGACUUUGAGUGGGAUGUCAUAUAAGUGACACCACACACACACACACACACACACACACACACACACACACACACACACACACACACACACACACACACCUUACACAUCCUCUUCACUAAUGGCACUCAUUUUAUUGUGUUAGUCGCGUACUUUUUUUCAGGUGUUUGUUCUUGAAUACCUAAACUGUUCAUUGUAUUCUUUUUUAUUUCUUACUAACUAAUUCUGUAAUUCACUUAGAAGUUUUCAGAGUAGUAAUCGUUGUAGUAAUUCCACUUUAUUUUCCAUUGCCAGUAAUUUUGAAAUAUUUAAAUGUAAUAAGAUGUAAUAAAACUUGAAGUUACACUGCAUUUUUUAGUUUUAGCAUUGUUUCCAA
Non-coding RNA from Danio rerio (zebrafish), 1244 nucleotides. The record is from RefSeq and is a predicted model, not a curated record. NCBI's taxonomy places the organism in Eukaryota, Metazoa, Chordata, Actinopteri, Cypriniformes, Danionidae.